This 517-nucleotide ribosomal RNA is filed under the name uncultured bacterium. Its description in RNAcentral is "bacterial SSU rRNA". It matches the Rfam family "Bacterial small subunit ribosomal RNA", at positions 553 to 1071 of the family's 1533-position model. The record is from RNAcentral.
ACUGGGCGUAAAGGGCACGCAGGCGGUGACUUAAGUGAGGUGUGAAAGCCCCGGGCUUAACCUGGGAAUUGCAUUUCAUACUGGGUCGCUAGAGUACUUUAGGGAGGGGUAGAAUUCCACGUGUAGCGGUGAAAUGCGUAGAGAUGUGGAGGAAUACCGAAGGCGAAGGCAGCCCCUUGGGAAUGUACUGACGCUCAUGUGCGAAAGCGUGGGGAGCAAACAGGAUUAGAUACCCUGGUAGUCCACGCUGUAAACGAUGUCGAUUUGGGGAUUGGGCUUUAAGCUUGGUGCCCGUAGCUAACGUGAUAAAUCGACCGCCUGGGGAGUACGGCCGCAAGGUUAAAACUCAAAUGAAUUGACGGGGGCCCGCACAAGCGGUGGAGCAUGUGGUUUAAUUCGAUGCAACGCGAAGAACCUUACCUACUCUUGACAUCCAUGGAAUCUUGUAGAGAUACGAGAGUGCCUUCGGGAACCAUGAGACAGGUGCUGCAUGGCUGUCGUCAGCUCGUGUCGUGAG